This 460-nucleotide ribosomal RNA is filed under the name uncultured bacterium. RNAcentral's name for it is "partial 16S ribosomal RNA". It matches the Rfam family "Bacterial small subunit ribosomal RNA", at positions 338 to 795 of the family's 1533-position model. The record is from RNAcentral.
CCUACGGGAGGCAGCAGUGAGGAAUAUUGGUCAAUGGGCGCGAGCCUGAACCAGCCAAGUCGCGUGAAGGAUGAAUGCUCUAUGGGUUGUAAACUUCUUUUAUAAAGGAAUAAAGUGCGGCACGUGUCCCUUUUCGCAUGUACUUUAUGAAUAAGGAUCGGCUAACUCCGUGCCAGCAGCCGCGGUAAUCCGGAGGUUCCGAGCGUUAUCCGGAUUUAUUGGGUUUAAAGGGUGCGUAGAUGGGUGUUUAAGUCAGGGGUGAAAGUUUGCGGCUAAACCGUAAAAUUGCAGUUGAUACUGGCAGUCUUGAGGAUAGUUGAGGUAGGCGGAAUGCGUGGUGUAGCGGUGAAAUGCUUAGAUAUCACGAAGAACCCCGAUUGCGAAGGCAGCUUACUAAACUGCCACUGACACUGAUGCUCGAAAGCGUGGGGAUCAAACAGGAUUAGAUACCCUAGUAGUC